CAAAAGUUAAAUUACCAUAUCGUUUCACCCUAAAUAUCCAAAUUUUUUUCUAAAAGUUAAUUAAUAAAUAUUUCUAGUAAUAUCUUAUAACAAACAACUUUAUUUAAAUGAUAAAUUUAAAAGGAAACUCAAAAGCCCAACGAAAUACUGAUAAUUACACGUUUACACCAAGUACAGCAUAAAUAAACCGUUGCUUUAUUCACCCCUGUUUCCGGAGCAAUUCUCACAUAUUGAAUAAACUGGAUGCCGUUAGGAAAAAACUCCUUUCUUUACUAUCUUGAGGAUAUUCCCACGACAGCCGAGUCCCGAUUUUUUUAUCCGGUGAAGGAUAGCCAACUUGGCAGAAUUCUGCCACCACAACAUCAACUAGCAAGAAGAAGAAAAACAUAGAGCAGUUAAUAUGUGCAUUUAAUUGGUGGUGGUUGGUCGCUGAAAAUAAUAAAUAUAAACAACUGAAUUGAAAUUUGGACCUUUCUCAAAAUCAUAUUAGUUGGAAAAAUGUUUAUCCGAACUCCGCUCUUUAGCUACCGGAACAUAUCAAACCUCAAGUAGCUUACUCUUAUCUCUGAGGUUAUGUAAAUUACUUAUCACUCAGUCAAUAAACUGUUGUAAAUUUUAUUA
Long non-coding RNA from Bactrocera dorsalis (oriental fruit fly), 621 nucleotides. RefSeq lists it as uncharacterized. Lineage: Eukaryota; Metazoa; Arthropoda; Insecta; Diptera; Tephritidae. The transcript has 2 exons. The record is from RefSeq and is a predicted model, not a curated record.